This 429-nucleotide ribosomal RNA is filed under the name uncultured bacterium. RNAcentral's name for it is "bacterial SSU rRNA". It matches the Rfam family "Bacterial small subunit ribosomal RNA", at positions 335 to 755 of the family's 1533-position model. The record is from RNAcentral.
ACUCCUACGGGAGGCAGCAGUGGGGAAUAUUGCACAAUGGGGGAAACCCUGAUGCAGCCAUGCCGCGUGUGUGAAGAAGGCCUUCGGGUUGUAAAGCACUUUCAGCGAGGAGGAAAGGGUGUGUGCUAAUACCAUACAUCUGUGACGUUACUCGCAGAAGAAGCACCGGCUAACUCCGUGCCAGCAGCCGCGGUAAUACGGAGGGUGCGAGCGUUAAUCGGAAUUACUGGGCGUAAAGCGCAUGCAGGCGGCCUGUUAAGUCAGAUGUGAAAGCCCGGGGCUUAACCUCGGAAUUGCAUUUGAAACUGGCAGGCUAAGUCUUGUAGAGGGGGUGAGAAUUUCAGGUGUAGCGGUGAAAUGCGUAGAGAUCUGAAGGAAUACCAGUGGCGAAGGCGGCCCCCUCGNGCAAAGACUAGACGCUCAGAUGCG